UGGACGAAAGUCUGACGGAGCAACGCCGCGUGAGUGAAGAAGGUUUUCGGAUCGUAAAGCUCUGUUGUAAGAGAAGAACGAGUGUGAGAGUGGAAAGUUCACACUGUGACGGUAUCUUACCAGAAAGGGACGGCUAACUACGUGCCAGCAGCCGCGGUAAUACGUAGGUCCCGAGCGUUGUCCGGAUUUAUUGGGCGUAAAGCGAGCGCAGGCGGUU
RNAcentral lists this ribosomal RNA (217 nucleotides) under Dickeya dadantii. RNAcentral's name for it is "partial 16S ribosomal RNA". It matches the Rfam family "Bacterial small subunit ribosomal RNA", at positions 372 to 580 of the family's 1533-position model. Lineage: Bacteria; Pseudomonadati; Pseudomonadota; Gammaproteobacteria; Enterobacterales; Pectobacteriaceae. The record is from RNAcentral.